This 453-nucleotide ribosomal RNA is filed under the name uncultured bacterium. Its description in RNAcentral is "bacterial SSU rRNA". It matches the Rfam family "Bacterial small subunit ribosomal RNA", at positions 28 to 522 of the family's 1533-position model. The record is from RNAcentral.
GAUGAACGCUGGCGGUAUGCCUAACACAUGCAAGUCGAACGGAGUUCUUCGGAACUCAGUGGCGGACGGGUGAGUAACGCGUGAGAAUCUGCCAUUUGGAUGGGGAUAACAGAGGGAAACUUCUGCUAAUACCCAAUAUGCCGAGAGGUGAAAUAUUUUCUUGCCAAAUGAGGAGCUCGCGUCCGAUUAGUUAGUUGGUGGGGUAAGAGCCUACCAAGGCAGCGAUCGGUAGCUGGUCUGAGAGGAUGAGCAGCCACACUGGGACUGAGACACGGCCCAGACUCCUACGGGAGGCAGCAGUGGGGAAUUUUCCGCAAUGGGCGAAAGCCUGACGGAGCAAUACCGCGUGAGGGAGGAAGGCUUUUGGGUUGUAAACCUCUUUUAUUAAGGAAGAAGCAAGUGACGGUACUUAAUGAAUCAGCAUCGGCUAACUCCGUGCCAGCCGCCGCCGUA